This 301-nucleotide ribosomal RNA is filed under the name Escherichia coli. Its description in RNAcentral is "bacterial SSU rRNA". It matches the Rfam family "Bacterial small subunit ribosomal RNA", at positions 442 to 735 of the family's 1533-position model. Lineage: Bacteria; Pseudomonadati; Pseudomonadota; Gammaproteobacteria; Enterobacterales; Enterobacteriaceae. The record is from RNAcentral.
GGGAGGAAGGGAGUAAAGUUAAUACCUUUGCUCAUUGACGUUACCCGCAGAAGAAGCACCGGCUAACUCCGUGCCAGCAGCCGCGGUAAUACGGAGGGUGCAAGCGUUAAUCGGAAUUACUGGGCGUAAAGCGCACGCAGGCGGUUUGUUAAGUCAGAUGUGAAAUCCCCGGGCUCAACCUGGGAACUGCAUCUGAUACUGGCAAGCUUGAGUCUCGUAGAGGGGGGUAGAAUUCCAGGUGUAGCGGUGAAAUGCGUAGAGAUCUGGAGGAAUACCGGUGGCGAAGGCGGCCCCCUGGACG